RNAcentral lists this ribosomal RNA (495 nucleotides) under uncultured bacterium. Its description in RNAcentral is "partial 16S ribosomal RNA". It matches the Rfam family "Bacterial small subunit ribosomal RNA", at positions 28 to 507 of the family's 1533-position model. The record is from RNAcentral.
GAUGAACGCUGGCGGCGUGCCUAAUACAUGCAAGUCGAGCGAACAGAUAAGGAGCUUGCUCCUUUGACGUUAGCGGCACGGGUGAGUAACACGUGGGUAACCUACCUAUAAGACUGGAAUAACUCCGGGAAACCGGGGCUAAUGCCGGAUAACAUGUUGAACCGCAUGGUUCUACAGUGAAAGGCGGCUUUGCUGUCACUUAUAGAUGGACCCGCGCCGUAUUAGCUAGUUGGUGAGGUAACGGCUCACCAAGGCAACGAUACGUAGCCGACCUGAGAGGGUGAUCGGCCACACUGGAACUGAGACACGGUCCAGACUCCUACGGGAGGCAGCAGUAGGGAAUCUUCCGCAAUGGGCGAAAGCCUGACGGAGCAACGCCGCGUGAGUGAUGAAGGUCUUCGGAUCGUAAAACUCUGUUAUUAGGGAAGAACAAAUGCGUAAGUAACUGUGCGCGUCUUGACGGUACCUAAUCAGAAAGCCACGGCUAACUACGUG